RNAcentral lists this ribosomal RNA (910 nucleotides) under Bacillus subtilis. Its description in RNAcentral is "bacterial SSU rRNA". It matches the Rfam family "Bacterial small subunit ribosomal RNA", at positions 449 to 1354 of the family's 1533-position model. Lineage: Bacteria; Bacillati; Bacillota; Bacilli; Caryophanales; Bacillaceae. The record is from RNAcentral.
AACAGUACCGUUCGAUAGGGCGUACCUUGACGGUACCUAACCAGAAAGCCACGGCUAACUACGUGCCAGCAGCCGCGGUAAUACGUAGGUGGCAAGCGUGUCCGGAAUUAUUGGGCGUAAAGGGCUCGCAGGCGGUUUCUUAAGUCUGAUGUGAAAGCCCCCGGCUCAACCGGGGAGGGUCAUUGGAAACUGGGGAACUUGAGUGCAGAAGAGGAGAGUGGAAUUCCACGUGUAGCGGUGAAAUGCGUAGAGAUGUGGAGGAACACCAGUGGCGAAGGCGACUCUCUGGUCUGUAACUGACGCUGAGGAGCGAAAGCGUGGGGAGCGAACAGGAUUAGAUACCCUGGUAGUCCACGCCGUAAACGAUGAGUGCUAAGUGUUAGGGGGUUUCCGCCCCUUAGUGCUGCAGCUAACGCAUUAAGCACUCCGCCUGGGGAGUACGGUCGCAAGACUGAAACUCAAAGGAAUUGACGGGGGCCCGCACAAGCGGUGGAGCAUGUGGUUUAAUUCGAAGCAACGCGAAGAACCUUACCAGGUCUUGACAUCCUCUGACAAUCCUAGAGAUAGGACUUCCCCUUCGGGGGCAGAGUGACAGGUGGUGCAUGGUUGUCGUCAGCUCGUGUCGUGAGAUGUUGGGUUAAGUCCCGCAACGAGCGCAACCCUUGAUCUUAGUUGCCAGCAUUCAGUUGGGCACUCUAAGGUGACUGCCGGUGACAAACCGGAGGAAGGUGGGGAUGACGUCAAAUCAUCAUGCCCCUUAUGACCUGGGCUACACACGUGCUACAAUGGACAGAACAAAGGGCAGCGAAACCGCGAGGUUAAGCCAAUCCCACAAAUCUGUUCUCAGUUCGGAUCGCAGUCUGCAACUCGACUGCGUGAAGCUGGAAUCGCUAGUAAUCGCGGAUCAGCA